CAGAGAAUAGUUUAAUUAAAAUAGUAAUUUUGGAGAUUAUUGAUAAAGAAUAUUCUUUUUCUCUGA
This 66-nucleotide transfer RNA is filed under the name Nevrorthus apatelios. Its description in RNAcentral is "tRNA-Pro". The record is from RNAcentral. Lineage: Eukaryota; Metazoa; Arthropoda; Insecta; Neuroptera; Nevrorthidae.